RNAcentral lists this ribosomal RNA (468 nucleotides) under uncultured bacterium. Its description in RNAcentral is "partial 16S ribosomal RNA". It matches the Rfam family "Bacterial small subunit ribosomal RNA", at positions 28 to 507 of the family's 1533-position model. The record is from RNAcentral.
GACGAACGCUGGCGGCGUGCUUAACACAUGCAAGUCGAACGGAAAGGCCCUGCUUUUGUGGGGUGCUCGAGUGGCGAACGGGUGAGUAACACGUGAGUAACCUGCCCUUGACUUUGGGAUAACUUCAGGAAACUGGGGCUAAUACCGGAUAGGGGCUCCUGCUGCAUGGUGGGGGUUGGAAAGUUUCGGCGGUUGGGGAUGGACUCGCGGCUUAUCAGCUUGUUGGUGGGGUAGUGGCUUACCAAGGCUUUGAUGGGUAGCCGGCCUGAGAGGGUGACCGGCCACAUUGGGACUGAGAUACGGCCCAGACUCCUACGGGAGGCAGCAGUGGGGAAUAUUGCACAAUGGGCGGAAGCCUGAUGCAGCAACGCCGCGUGCGGGAUGACGGCCUUCGGGUUGUAAACCGCUUUCGCCUGUGACGAAGCGUGAGUGACGGUAAUGGGUAAAGAAGCACCGGCUAACUACGUG